Molecule: unclassified non-coding RNA, 422 nt
Filed under: Bombus terrestris (buff-tailed bumblebee)
Lineage: Eukaryota; Metazoa; Arthropoda; Insecta; Hymenoptera; Apidae
Description: misc RNA ENSBTSG00005029694.1
Source: RNAcentral
GCCACGAUAUCAGGAAUUGCUCUGGCCUACACUAGUGCGCCUACGAUUCGUUGGUGUACGUGCCGCUUCCGUGCGCUCAGAAAACCACCGUCGCCGUUUCUCUGUGUUCGCCAGCUUUGAAAUUUCCGUGUCUAGACUUUUUAGCUGGCUGGAAAAUCUGUUACAGGAAAAUGUAAACUUUUUAUCGAUGAAACAUCCAUUACUUUUUAUCAUAUUGGAACAUGCAUCAGAAACAGCAGUUUUCGUGGGAAACGAUUUUUAACAAGGGGUGUUCUGAUAUUUAUAAACGAGAUUGUACAAUCUCCUAUAAAAAUGCCAAUUUUUCUGACCGAUGUCGACGAUGUAUUUGCAAGAGAAAGAAAGAUAUUGGCUGGUCGACGGCGAAGACGGACGAUUGAUUCGGUAAAGGCGCGAAAACGAAA